GACGAACGCUGGCGGCGUGCUUAACACAUGCAAGUCGAACGGAAAGGCCCUGCUUUUGUGGGGUGCUCGAGUGGCGAACGGGUGAGUAACACGUGAGUAACCUGCCCUUGACUUUGGGAUAACUUCAGGAAACUGGGGCUAAUACCGGAUAGGAGCACCUGCUGCAUGGUGGGGGUUGGAAAGUUUCGGCGGUUGGGGAUGGACUCGCGGCUUAUCAGCUUGUUGGUGGGGUAGUGGCUUACCAAGGCUUUGACGGGUAGCCGGCCUGGGAGGGUGACCGGCCACAUUGGGACUGAGAUACGGCCCAGACUCCUACGGGAGGCAGCAGUGGGGAAUAUUGCACAAUGGGCGGAAGCCUGAUGCAGCAACGCCGCGUGCGGGAUGACGGCCUUCGGGUUGUAAACCGCUUUCGCCUGUGACGAAGCGUGAGUGACGGUAAUGGGUAAAGAAGCACCGGCUAACUACGUG
RNAcentral lists this ribosomal RNA (468 nucleotides) under uncultured bacterium. Its description in RNAcentral is "partial 16S ribosomal RNA". It matches the Rfam family "Bacterial small subunit ribosomal RNA", at positions 28 to 507 of the family's 1533-position model. The record is from RNAcentral.